AGCGAACGCUGGCGGCAGGCUUAACACAUGCAAGUCGAGCGGGCGUAGCAAUACGUCAGCGGCAGACGGGUGAGUAACGCGUGGGAACGUACCUUUUGGUUCGGAACAACACAGGGAAACUUGUGCUAAUACCGGAUAAGCCCCUUACGGGGGAAAGUAUUUAUCGUCGAAAGAUCGGCCCGCGUCUGAUUAGCUUGUUGGUGAGGUAACGGCUCACCAAGGCGACGAUCAGUAGCUGGUCUGAGAGGAUGAUCAGCCACAUUGGGACUGAGACACGGCCCAAACUCCUACGGGAGGCAGCAGUGGGGAAUAUUGGACAAUGGGGGAAACCCUGAUCCAGCCAUGCCGCGUGAGUGAU
This 358-nucleotide ribosomal RNA is filed under the name uncultured bacterium. RNAcentral's name for it is "bacterial SSU rRNA". It matches the Rfam family "Bacterial small subunit ribosomal RNA", at positions 29 to 409 of the family's 1533-position model. The record is from RNAcentral.